RNAcentral lists this transfer RNA (76 nucleotides) under Proteus mirabilis. Its description in RNAcentral is "tRNA-Ile". It matches the Rfam family "tRNA". Rfam says of the family: Transfer RNA (tRNA) molecules are approximately 80 nucleotides in length. Their secondary structure includes four short double-helical elements and three loops (D, anti-codon, and T loops). Lineage: Bacteria; Pseudomonadati; Pseudomonadota; Gammaproteobacteria; Enterobacterales; Morganellaceae. The record is from RNAcentral.
GCACCAGUAGCUCAAUGGUAGAGCACUCGACUCAUAAUCGAUGGAUUAUCGGUUCGAAUCCGUUUUAGGUGCACCA